CAGCCGCCGCGGUAAUACGGAGGAUCCGAGCGUUAUCCGGAAUUAUUGGGUUUAAAGGGUGCGUAGGCGGAUAGAUAAGUCAGUGGUGAAAGACGGUGGCUCAACCAUCGCAGUGCCGUUGAUACUGUUUAUCUUGAAUAUGGAUGAGGUAGGCGGAAUGUGGCAAGUAGCGGUGAAAUGCAUAGAUAUGCCACAGAACACCGAUUGCGAAGGCAGCUUACUAAGGUAUGAUUGACGCUGAUGCACGAAAGCGUGGGGAGCAAACAGGAUUAGAGACCCCGGUAGUCCCUGUCUCUUAUAC
Molecule: ribosomal RNA, 301 nt
Filed under: uncultured bacterium
Lineage: Bacteria
Description: partial 16S ribosomal RNA
Rfam family: Bacterial small subunit ribosomal RNA
Source: RNAcentral